CCCUUAGAUGUUCUGGGCAGCACGCGCGCUACAAUGGUCUUCGCAAACGGAUGCAUUCUCGAAGGAGAAUGCCAAUCUUGGAAUCUAUGCCUUGGUCGGGACAGUUGCUUGCAAUUUUUCGACUCGAACCAGGAAUUCCUUGUAAUCGUGAUUCAUCACAUCACGAUGAAUACGUCCCUGCCCUUUGUACACACCGCCCGUCGCUCCUACCGAUCGAAGAGUUAGGUGAAUUAUUUUGAUCGAUAAGAUUUGACUAUGGUCAACUCUCGUUGUGAAAUUCUGUGAAUCUGACUGUUUAGAGGAAGGAAAAGUCGUAACA
Molecule: ribosomal RNA, 319 nt
Filed under: uncultured eukaryote
Lineage: Eukaryota
Description: partial 18S ribosomal RNA
Rfam family: Eukaryotic small subunit ribosomal RNA
Source: RNAcentral